UAUUCUGCCCCAUGGGGAAGGAUGAGAAGCUUCGACUAAGGUUCGACUCGAGCGCCAGCGAGAGAACGUUGCCACAGGCAACGGCCCGAAGGGCGAGGCGCUUUAGCGCCGAGUAAUCCUUCCCCCACC
Molecule: small RNA, 129 nt
Filed under: Klebsiella pneumoniae
Lineage: Bacteria; Pseudomonadati; Pseudomonadota; Gammaproteobacteria; Enterobacterales; Enterobacteriaceae
Description: partial RtT sRNA
Rfam family: RtT RNA
About the family: This family represents a bacterial cis-regulatory element known as RtT RNA. The exact function of RtT is unknown although it is thought that it may be involved in changing the cellular response in relation to amino acid starvation.
Source: RNAcentral